UCGGGAAUUUUGCUCAAUGGGCGCAAGCCUGAAGCAGCAACGCCGCGUGAGGGAUGAAGGCCUUCGGGUUGUAAACCUCUUUUCUCAGGGACGAUGAUGACGGUACCCGAGGAAUAAGUCACGGCUAACUACGUGCCAGCAGCCGCGGUAAUACGUAGGUGACCAGCGUUGUCCGGAUUUACUGGGCGUAAAGAGCGCGCAGGCGGUCGUUCAAGUCGAGUGUGAAAGACCCCGGCUCAACUGGGGAGGGUCACUCGAUACUGAUCGACUUGAAGGCAGGAGAGGGAAGCGGAAUUCCCGGUGUAGUGGUGAAAUGCGUAGAUAUCGGGGGGAACACCAGUGGCGAAGGCGGCUUCCUGGCCUGUUCUUGACGCUGAGGCGCGAAAGCUAGGGGAGCAAACG
This 402-nucleotide ribosomal RNA is filed under the name uncultured bacterium. RNAcentral's name for it is "bacterial SSU rRNA". It matches the Rfam family "Bacterial small subunit ribosomal RNA", at positions 355 to 774 of the family's 1533-position model. The record is from RNAcentral.